Molecule: ribosomal RNA, 435 nt
Filed under: uncultured bacterium
Lineage: Bacteria
Description: partial 16S ribosomal RNA
Rfam family: Bacterial small subunit ribosomal RNA
Source: RNAcentral
AGCGAACGCUGGCGGCAGGCUUAACACAUGCAAGUCGAGCGGGCGUAGCAAUACGUCAGCGGCAGACGGGUGAGUAACGCGUGGGAACGCACCUUUUUGUUCGGAACAACACAGGGAAACUUGUGCUAAUACCGGAUAAGCCCUUCCGGUGAAAGCUUUAUCGCCGAAAGAUCGGCUCUCGUCUGAUUAGCUAGUUGGUGAGGUAACGGCUCACCAAGGCGACGAUCAGUAGCUGGUCUGAGAGGAUGAUCAGCCACAUUGGGACUGCGACACGGCCCAAACUCCUACGGGAGGCAGCAGUGGGGAAUAUUGGACAAUGGGGGCAACCCUGAUCCAGCCAUGCCGCGUGAGUGAUGAAGGCCCUAGGGAUGUAAAGCUCUUUUGUGCGGGAAGAUAAUGACGGUACCGCAAGAAUAAGCCCCGGCUAACUUCGUG